UGAGGAAAUAUUGGUCAAUGGGCGCGAGCCUGAACCAGCCAAGUAGCGUGCAGGAUGACGGCCCUAUGGGUUGUAAACUGCUUUUGUAUGGGGAUAAAGUCAAUCACGUGUGAUUGUUUGCAGGUACCAUACGAAUAAGGACCGGCUAAUUCCGUGCCAGCAGCCGCGGUAAUACGGAAGGUCCGGGCGUUAUCCGGAUUUAUUGGGUUUAAAGGGAGCGUAGGCCGGAGAUUAAGUGUGUUGUGAAAUGUAGACGCUCAACGUCUGACUUGCAGCGCAUACUGGUUUCCUUGAGUACGCACAACGUUGGCGGAAUUCGUCGUGUAGCGGUGAAAUGCUUAGAUAUGACGAAGAACUCCGAUUGCGAAGGCAGCUGACGGGAGCGCAACUGACGCUUAAGCUCGAAGGUGCGGGUAUCGAACAGGAUUAGAUACCCUGGUAGUCCGCACAGUAAACGAUGGAUGCCCGCUGUUGGUACCUGGUAUCAGCGGCUAAGCGAAAGCAUUAAGCAUCCCACCUGGGGAGUACGCCGGCAACGGUG
This 541-nucleotide ribosomal RNA is filed under the name uncultured bacterium. Its description in RNAcentral is "bacterial SSU rRNA". It matches the Rfam family "Bacterial small subunit ribosomal RNA", at positions 354 to 896 of the family's 1533-position model. The record is from RNAcentral.